GGGUUGUAAAGUACUUUCAGCGGGGAGGAAGGUGAUAAGGUUAAUACCCUUAUCAAUUGACGUUACCCGCAGAAGAAGCACCGGCUAACUCCGUGCCAGCAGCCGCGGUAAUACGGAGGGUGCAAGCGUUAAUCGGAAUUACUGGGCGUAAAGCGCACGCAGGCGGUCAAUUAAGUCAGAUGUGAAAGCCCCGAGCUUAACUUGGGAAUUGCAUCUGAAACUGGUUGGCUAGAGUCUUGUAGAGGGGGGUAGAAUUCCACGUGUAGCGGUGAAAUGCGUAGAGAUGUGGAGGAAUACCGGUGGCGAAGGCGGCCCCCUGGACAAAGACUGACGCCUCAGGUG
Molecule: ribosomal RNA, 342 nt
Filed under: Shigella sp. FC1967
Lineage: Bacteria; Pseudomonadati; Pseudomonadota; Gammaproteobacteria; Enterobacterales; Enterobacteriaceae
Description: bacterial SSU rRNA
Rfam family: Bacterial small subunit ribosomal RNA
Source: RNAcentral